UGAUGAGGUGGCCACAGGGACCAAGAG
This 27-nucleotide non-coding RNA is filed under the name Mus musculus (house mouse). Lineage: Eukaryota; Metazoa; Chordata; Mammalia; Rodentia; Muridae. The record is from RNAcentral.